CCCAAGCACUUGGCCUCAC
RNAcentral lists this non-coding RNA (19 nucleotides) under Mus musculus (house mouse). Lineage: Eukaryota; Metazoa; Chordata; Mammalia; Rodentia; Muridae. The record is from RNAcentral.